Molecule: non-coding RNA, 143 nt
Filed under: Pseudomonas oryzihabitans
Lineage: Bacteria; Pseudomonadati; Pseudomonadota; Gammaproteobacteria; Pseudomonadales; Pseudomonadaceae
Description: SAH sequence
Rfam family: SAH (S-adenosyl-L-homocysteine) riboswitch aptamer
Source: Rfam by way of RNAcentral
CCGUUCGAGGGGCGCUGCAGCACGCUGCGUUAUCCCAUCCUAGCCGACCCGCCCCUGGCGCGGGACCCUCGGCGGGCAUGACGCCAGACGUUGUCAGGCUCGAACGGAGCGUUGUCAGAACGCAUCAACGGCGCCCAUUCGCA